AUUAAACGCUGGCGGCAUGCCUUACACAUGCAAGUCGAACGGCAGCACGGGGGCAACCCUGGUGGCGAGUGGCGGACGGGUGAGUAAAGCAUCGGAACGUAUCCUGGAGUGGGGGAUAACGUAGCGAAAGUUACGCUAAUACCGUAUGAGCCCCGAGAGGGGGAAAGAUUUAUCGCCUUGGGAGCGGCCCGCGUCGGAUUAGCUAGUUGGUGGGGUAACGGCCUACCAAGGCUUCGAUCCGUAGCUGGUCUGAGAGGACGAUCAGCCACACUGGGACUGAGACACGGCCCAGACUCCUACGGGAGGCAGCAGUGGGGAAUCUUGCGCAAUGGGGGGCAACCCUGACGCAGCCAUGCCGCGUGAACGAUGAAGGCCUUAGGGUUGUAAAGUUCUUUACCGUGACGAUGAUGACGGUAACGGGGGAAUAAGCUCCGGCUAACUUCGUGCCAGCAGCCGCGGU
Molecule: ribosomal RNA, 460 nt
Filed under: uncultured bacterium
Lineage: Bacteria
Description: bacterial SSU rRNA
Rfam family: Bacterial small subunit ribosomal RNA
Source: RNAcentral